AUGGUUUUAACGGGUAACGGGGAAUAAGGGUUCGAUUCCGGAGAGGGAGCCUGAGAAACGGCUACCACAUCCAAGGAAGGCAGCAGGCGCGCAAAUUACCCAAUCCCGAUACGGGGAGGUAGUGACAAUAAAUAACAAUACAGGGCUUUCUAGUCUUGUAAUUGGAAUGAGUACAAUUUAAAUCCCUUAACGAGGAACAAUUGGAGGGCAAGUCUGGUGCCAGCAGCCGCGGUAAUUCCAGCUCCAAUAGCGUAUAUUAAAGUUGUUGCAGUUAAAAAGCUCGUAGUUGAAUUUCGGGAUUGACACAUCGGUCGUGCCCUAAGGGGUAUGAACUGGUGUAGUCAGUUUCUCACCUUCUGGAGAACCGCGAUGUCCUUAAUUGGGUGCCGCGAGGAACCAGGACCUUUACUUUGAAAAAAUUAGAGUGUUUAAAGCAGGCAUUUUGCUUGAAUACAUUAGCAUGGAAUAAUAAAAUAGGACGGAUGGUUCUAUUUUGUUGGUUUCUAGGAUCACCGUAAUGAUUAAUAGGGAUAGUUGGGGGCAUUAGUAUUCAAUUGUCAGAGGUGAAAUUCUUGGAUUUAUUGAAGACUAACUACUGCGAAAGCAUUUGCCAAGGAUGUUUUCAUUAAUCAAGAACGAAAGUUAGGGGAUCGAAGACGAUCAGAUACCGUCGUAGUCUUAACCAUAAACUAUGCCGA
RNAcentral lists this ribosomal RNA (698 nucleotides) under uncultured Glomeromycotina. Its description in RNAcentral is "SSU rRNA". It matches the Rfam family "Eukaryotic small subunit ribosomal RNA", at positions 346 to 1045 of the family's 1831-position model. The record is from RNAcentral. Lineage: Eukaryota; Fungi; Glomeromycota.